This 1072-nucleotide ribosomal RNA is filed under the name Pseudobulimina chapmani. Its description in RNAcentral is "SSU rRNA". It matches the Rfam family "Eukaryotic small subunit ribosomal RNA", at positions 1160 to 1828 of the family's 1831-position model. Lineage: Eukaryota; Foraminifera; Rotaliida; Robertinidae. The record is from RNAcentral.
AAGGGCACCACAAGAACGCGUGGAGCAUGUGGCUUAAUUUGACUCAACGCGGGAAAUCUUACCGGGUCCGGACACACUGAGGAUUGACAGGCACUAUUAAAAAUGAAGAGUUACGCGGAUUUAUUCGUGUGGCUCUUUUUUUUAUGUCAAAUAUGCUAGUCCUUUCAUGAUUAUGUGAUAGGUGGUGCAUGGCCGUUCUUAGUUCGUGGAGUGAUCUGUCUGCUUAAUUGCGUUUCACUAAGAGUUCUAAACUUAAUGUGUAUUGCGGCGGUAUCAUUGACCCCUGUCUCUCACGAGGCGGUGUUGUUGUCUUUGUUAUUUGUCCGCUUACACUACUGAGCUCUGAAAGCAACGAACGUGACCGCAGCCUCUUGUUGCCUUUCGUAAUUCAAUCGCUUUUCAUUAAGCUUUUGAUCAAAAAAGGCUCAUUCUUUAAACUAGAGGGACCGCUGUAUCUUCUUUAAACCAGAGGAAGGUUGCGACAAUAACAGGUCUGUGAUGCCCUUAGAUGUUCCGGGCUGCACACGUGCUACAAUGAUUAUUGCAGUGAGCAUCUCAUUUUGAUACAUCGCUUGCGCGAGUCGCACUGAAUUUAUUCAGUGUUGUUCUUUGCGCGCGAUAAAGCCUGCUUCGAAAGUUCGUGGGUAAUCAAUUAGAAGUAAUGAUUUCCUAAUUCUUCGCACAAUAAUAUACUGCAUUCAUUACCGACCAUGCCCUGUGUAUGGUUCUGUGUUACAUGAGUGUCGGGCCCGUUUUUUUAAGCGGCGUCCGGUUCAGUAUGUGCAAACAUCAGCUCAAAGUGGGGAUCGACCUCUGUUAAUUGUUGGUCGUGGUCUCAACUAGGAAUGCCUUGUACUGGUCUUUGGUUCAACAAACCACCAGGAAUACGUCCCUGCCCUUUGUACACACCGCCCGUCGCUCUUACCGAUGGACUUCUCUGUGAGUUUGAGGGACUGGAAUUUUUUGAUUUUUUACUAAGUCAAAUCCUCUAUGGAAACUCAAACGAACAGUGUGGUCUAAAGGAAAGAGAAGUCGUAACAAGGCAUCUGUAGGUGAACCUGCAGAAGGAUCA